ACCUAGCCUGACGAUGACGGUUUCCCUUCGGGGGAUCAAAAGGGAACGCGGUGAGGAUCUUGCGUCCGAUGCCGCGGCUGCCCCCGCAACUGUAAGCGGCGAGCCCAUCAUCAACACGUCACUGGAGGCUCCGGCUUCUGGGAAGACGAUGAGAGGGCGGUGACCCGCGAGCCAGGAGACCUGCCGUCAGUCGUGGUCACAC
Molecule: non-coding RNA, 202 nt
Filed under: Methylobacterium sp.
Lineage: Bacteria; Pseudomonadati; Pseudomonadota; Alphaproteobacteria; Hyphomicrobiales; Methylobacteriaceae
Also listed under: 1 other name
Source: RNAcentral